RNAcentral lists this ribosomal RNA (419 nucleotides) under uncultured bacterium. RNAcentral's name for it is "partial 16S ribosomal RNA". It matches the Rfam family "Bacterial small subunit ribosomal RNA", at positions 360 to 776 of the family's 1533-position model. The record is from RNAcentral.
AAUAUUGGUCAAUGGGCGCAAGCCUGAACCAGCCACGUCGCGUGAAGGAAGACGGCCCUACGGGUUGUAAACUUCUUUUGUAAGGGAAUAAAGUGUAGUACGUGUACUAUUUUGCAUGUACCUUACGAAUAAGGAUCGGCUAACUCCGUGCCAGCAGCCGCGGUAAUACGGAGGAUCCGAGCGUUAUCCGGAUUUAUUGGGUUUAAAGGGUGCGCAGGCGGGGGAUUAAGUCGGCGGUGAAAUUUUGCAGCUCAACUGUAAAAGUGCCUUCGAAACUGGUUUCCUUGAGUGUGGAUGAAGUAGGCGGAAUUUGUGGUGUAGCGGUGAAAUGCAUAGAUAUAGGAAGGAACACCAGUGGCGAAGGCGACCACCUGGGCUAAUACUGACACUGAGGUGCGAAAGCGUGGGGAGCAAACAGG